This is a non-coding RNA of Pangasianodon gigas (Mekong giant catfish), 73 nucleotides long. NCBI's taxonomy places the organism in Eukaryota, Metazoa, Chordata, Actinopteri, Siluriformes, Pangasiidae. The record is from the annotation of a GenBank genome assembly.
UACUAUAUAUACUAUAUAUAAUACCAUACUAACACUAUACCACUAUAGACAAAACUAUUCUAACUCUAUACCA